This 578-nucleotide ribosomal RNA is filed under the name Aspergillus niger. RNAcentral's name for it is "partial large subunit ribosomal RNA". It matches the Rfam family "Eukaryotic large subunit ribosomal RNA", at positions 65 to 660 of the family's 3401-position model. Lineage: Eukaryota; Fungi; Ascomycota; Eurotiomycetes; Eurotiales; Aspergillaceae. The record is from RNAcentral.
CGCAACGGGCAUGCUCAGUACGGCGAGUGAAGCGGCAAGAGCUCAAAUUUGAAAGCUGGCUCCUUCGGAGUCCGCAUUGUAAUUUGCAGAGGAUGCUUUGGGUGCGGCCCCCGUCUAAGUGCCCUGGAACGGGCCGUCAGAGAGGGUGAGAAUCCCGUCUUGGGCGGGGUGUCCGUGCCCGUGUAAAGCUCCUUCGACGAGUCGAGUUGUUUGGGAAUGCAGCUCUAAAUGGGUGGUAAAUUUCAUCUAAAGCUAAAUACUGGCCGGAGACCGAUAGCGCACAAGUAGAGUGAUCGAAAGAUGAAAAGCACUUUGAAAAGAGAGUUAAACAGCACGUGAAAUUGUUGAAAGGGAAGCGCUUGCGACCAGACUCGCCCGCGGGGUUCAGCCGGCAUUCGUGCCGGUGUACUUCCCCGUGGGCGGGCCAGCGUCGGUUUGGGCGGCCGGUCAAAGGCCCCUGGAAUGUAGUACCCUCCGGGGUACCUUAUAGCCAGGGGUGCAAUGCGGCCAGCCUGGACCGAGGAACGCGCUUCGGCACGGACGCUGGCAUAAUGGUCGUAAACGACCCGUCUUGAAAC